AGAGAGAGAGAGAGAGAGAGAGAGAGAGAGAGAGAGAGAGAGAGGAAUGUUAAGGAGUGGGGUUUUGGUGAUUGGAGAUACAGAGGGAGAGGGAGAUUUGGGCCUGUUGGCAUUGUGAUCGUUUGAGGGAAGUUCCUGCGCUGGAGCACAAGGCUCGGACAGCCUCAGACUCGGAGGGGCAGGCCUCAGAGAGCAGGCAUAUGGCGAGGGCGCGUCCAAUGUGAUCGCAGGCACCCGCAUGCAACCGCCGCCUGCACUCCCUAAAAGCCUCCUCCAUCUUCUGGCACGGAAGAAGACCCCAUUGUGACUUCAGAAGCGAGAGAGAGAGAUAUUAACUCAGUACAGUGCGGAGAGAGAAAGAUGGCGGGUUCUCUCUCAAGGUUAGAGGCAAACAGAGGGAAGAAUUGGAUUCCCUCUAAACUGUCGAGUGUCGUACAGAGAAACUUAAUUAGAUUCCAGGAGAGAAAGAGAGAGGUUUCUCUCUCUAGAAUUGAAUUAGACACGUCGG
RNAcentral lists this long non-coding RNA (508 nucleotides) under Amborella trichopoda. Its description in RNAcentral is "long non-coding RNA (ATRI_LNC004432)". The record is from RNAcentral. Lineage: Eukaryota; Viridiplantae; Streptophyta; Magnoliopsida; Amborellales; Amborellaceae.